AUUGAACGCUGGCGGCAGGCUUAACACAUGCAAGUCGAACGGUAGCAGGAGAAAGCUUGCUUUCUUGCUGACGAGUGGCGGACGGGUGAGUAAUGCUUGGGAAUCUGGCUUAUGGCGGGGGUUAACUACGGGAACCUGUAGCUAAUACCGCGUAAUAUCUUCGGAUUAAAGAAUGGGACUUUUAGCCAUUCGUCAUAAGAUGAGCCCAUGUGGGAUUAGGUAGUUGGUGGGGUAAAGGCCUACCAAGCCGACGAUCUCUAGCUGGUCUGAGAGGAUGACCGGCCACACUGGAACUGAGACACGGUCCAGACUCCUACGGGAGGCAGCAGUGGGGAAUAUUGCGCAAUGGGGGCAACCCUGACGCAGCCAUGCCGCGUGAAUGAAGAAGGCCUUCGGGUUGUAAAGUUCUUUCGGUGGUGAGGAAGGCUAAUAUGUUAAUAGCAUAUUAGAUUGACGUUAGCCACAGAAGAAGCACCGGCUAACUCCGUG
Molecule: ribosomal RNA, 489 nt
Filed under: uncultured bacterium
Lineage: Bacteria
Description: partial 16S ribosomal RNA
Rfam family: Bacterial small subunit ribosomal RNA
Source: RNAcentral